UGAUAGGUGUGGCAUAGGGCAUGGAUCCCC
This 30-nucleotide non-coding RNA is filed under the name Rattus norvegicus (Norway rat). The record is from RNAcentral. Lineage: Eukaryota; Metazoa; Chordata; Mammalia; Rodentia; Muridae.